RNAcentral lists this small RNA (77 nucleotides) under Xanthomonas cannabis. Its description in RNAcentral is "sRNA sX9". It matches the Rfam family "Xanthomonas sRNA sX9". The record is from RNAcentral. Lineage: Bacteria; Pseudomonadati; Pseudomonadota; Gammaproteobacteria; Lysobacterales; Lysobacteraceae.
AUGGACCACGCGUACAGUGCGGUUCUGCACGCGCCGUGCAUAACCACCAGACGAUUGCUCGCUACGGUGUUGCAGCC